AGUGAACGCUGGCGGUAGGCCUAACACAUGCCAGUCGAACGGCAGCACAGUAAGAGCUUGCUCUUACGGGUGGCGAAUGGCGGACGGGUGAGGAAUACAUCGGAAUCUACUUUUUCGUGGGGGAUAACGUAGGGAAACUUACGCUAAUACCGCAUACGACCUACGGGUGAAAGCAGGGGAUCUUCGGACCUUGCGCGAUUGAAUGAGCCGAUGUCGGAUUAGCUAGUUGGCGGGGUAAAGGCCCACCAAGGCGACGAUCCGUAGCUGGUCUGAGAGGAUGAUCAGCCACACUGGAACUGAGACACGGUCCAGACUCCUACGGGAGGCAGCAGUGGGGAAUAUUGGACAAUGGGCGCAAGCCUGAUCCAGCCAUACCGCGUGGGUGAAGAAGGCCUUCGGGUUGUAAAGCCCUUUUGUUGGGAAAGAAAAGCAGCAGGUUAAUACCCCGCUGUUCUGACGGUACCCAAAGAAUAAGCACCGGCUAACUUCGUG
RNAcentral lists this ribosomal RNA (492 nucleotides) under uncultured bacterium. RNAcentral's name for it is "partial 16S ribosomal RNA". It matches the Rfam family "Bacterial small subunit ribosomal RNA", at positions 29 to 507 of the family's 1533-position model. The record is from RNAcentral.